CCCGGUGACGGGGUUGAAGUAAGAGGAGUUCUUUUUUUUCUCCCUUUUCCCUUACAGGGUAGGCUCGCUCCCUCACAAGAGGGGAUAGCCUAUACACUACAGGCUUUAUAGUGGGUGGGAAAGCACUAUAAAACAAGGUGGUUGUAAGGGGGGAGAGGGCACUCGGCAAGUGGGAGUGGGUGCUGUAUAGUUAUAGCAGGUCUGAAGUCAGGUCUUAUAGGGUAAGUCCUGGGUAGGUCCUUAUAGGGUAGGCUCUGGAGGAGGUUACCUGGGAGAUAUCUAAAUCCUCCUCCUGAGUAGAUCUUACAGGGUAAGUACAGGGUAGGGUCCUAUAGGGUAGGCUCUAUGAGAGAGGCUACCCGGGAAGGGGUUGAGUUUGACAGAGUAUAGGGUAGGAGCUCUCAGGGUAGGCGUAUCUCAGACUUGCAGGCCAGAUAUCUCGACAAGGAAGCGAGUCGACAGGAUAAGACCUAUAUGAUUGUGAUGCCCGAGUUGCUAGCUAUACGUGGGAAUUAAAAAGUAAAAUUGAAAAUUUUACAGAAUUUUCUCUAAGUCGGAAUGCUUAAAGUCCUCAGAACUCACGAAAAAACCCGUUUCGUGAGUCGUCUUGGCGUUUUUCCCAUACAAAUCUUUUUUCGGAAACCCACAACCUGUACGGGAACCCUCUGAGCCGUGUUUUGGACCCAAGUGGGGUCGGUGGGUAUAUGAGAAAGUGUGAUUGUCUGGGUGCAAGUCCAGACAGUGGCACUAACUCCGCCCCAAACUUAGUGUGUUAGCGGCAAUGGGAUAGCGAUCGAUAGUGGUAUACUGGGAAAAGCCUAGCGCUUGCGCUGGGAAGAAUACCUACUGCCUCUAGCGAGACCUAGCCGUGAUCAAUAGUGGUAUACCGGGAAAAGCCUGGCGUUCGCGCCGGGAAGAAUACCUACUGCCUCUUGCGAGAUCAUCUAGAUACUGACAUCUGGAUUAUUGCUGCUGUCAUUCCGAGUUGGGUGUGCUGCUGUGUAAGCAGUGGCUUCUGGGCCUUUGUAUACCUACUAGAUAGGGCACCUAGGUCNUUUUUUUGUUCCAUAUUUGCAGGAUAUCUAUAGGGCUCGUCCACCUUCUUGAGAUGCUACUCGUCGCUGUUCGGGCUUUACUAGAUAUUACCCCCCCUAGCAGUGCUAUUCGUAGUGCUAAAUCUAGGAUGAUGCGCAGUGGUCAUCGGGCAUAUUUCUUGUCUCGGCGGCUUCUGUUUGGGCUUUAUGAAUAGUUGACCUUCGGGUUAACGAUAGCAUGAAGCAGCGGGAGAUACUUACCCGGUAACUGCUCUUUUUUUGAGCACUUGCCGGUCUAAGUCUCCUCUUGGGACCUGUAAGUUCCACUGUCGUCAGUUUUAGGGCUGUUGAUUUGUGUGGCGGACCAGUGUUCUAAGGAAUUUAGAGGGAAAUAUUGGAAGGCGGUAUAGUGUGACGGGCCUUGCCUUAAUCACUACGCCGUCAGCCGCUAGGUCUUGGUUUAGGUGGGAAAUAUAGCGUGACUGGGCAGUAAAGAACCCUUGAUCGCUAUAUUAUUGAUUAUAGUGCUGACCAGUGCUAUCUUAACAGCUAUGCUAGUUAUGCUGCUAGGUUUAGUUAUUGCAUGCGCUAUAUCACCCUACUAGGCCUUGGUUUAGUUGGCUUAAAGGUAACUAAUCCUUCCGUGCUGUAAAGCCGGUUGGCCAANUUUUUUUUUGGCGCACGAUAGU
Molecule: unclassified non-coding RNA, 1723 nt
Filed under: Ustulina deusta
Lineage: Eukaryota; Fungi; Ascomycota; Sordariomycetes; Xylariales; Xylariaceae
Description: Kretzschmaria deusta partial 28S-18S ribosomal RNA intergenic spacer
Source: RNAcentral